UUGGUUUGUCCUACUUUAUGUGCAGGUGAGAGCGGUAGGAGCUGUGGAAAGAACCAGAGCAUGGUCUGUGUUCUCCACUGAAGUCGCUUGGCAUAAAUUUCACUAAAUCAAAGAUAAGCAGAUGCAAAGCAAAAAGAAAUCUCUUCCUCAUACCUCCUCUACCUGCCCACCCUCAGGCCAUCUGUCAAGAAAUGCUGAUCUUCUCUGAUCUUCUUUCCUGAGUUCUUUAACUUCUUCCACCUCUACACAUGUGUUGGCCAGCCUUGGGCUUUUCACUGAAAGGUCUUCCUGAGCAUUAAGGGAAUAACACAAAGGAAGAAAGGAUGGAGUUGCCAGACUGGCCACCCAUGCACUGAAACUUCCCCAAGGCCAUUCCAUGAAGCCCAUACAACGAUACCAUCAGUGCCUACAUAGGAGACACUAGACCUGCUUUGACUCAUGGAUGGAGUUAAUAUAGUGCCAAAUGUAAAGCCAGACUAUGCACAGUUGUAGGCUGGCUUCUCACAUCUGACGGCCAGGUGAGAAGUACCUGAAAGACAUUCUGUGCCACAGACAAGAUUUCUAGACUAAAGAGCUUUUUUGAUUAAAGAGAGGGUAAAAGGAGUCCAAACCCCUUUCUAAAAACCAUGCUCCUCAGGUUGUCUUGGCAAUUCUUUGAGAUGGUGAAUCUGAAGAAAAGCAACCCAGCAUUCAAAAAAGUCCGUAUUGCUGAAAUCUACAGAAAGUGCUGUUACUUAAGAAAGGGACCCCGUGCUACUGACCUCCAGUCAUCGAAGCCUUUCUCAAUGCACUUGCAGAAGAUUACACACACUAUUUGGAGGGAGAGGUGGAAGGAUAUUUUCCAUGUACUGUAAGAAUCAUCUGUCUUGGGAUUUCCAUGAGUUUUAGAGAUGAGAGGAUAUAUCACAAAAAAUAUUUACAGUAUGAGCAUUGCUGUCUCCUUGAGAGCAAUAUUAACCUUAAUACACUCUGAAAUAAAGCUAGUUACACCCAUAGAAAAAAUGCA
This 1006-nucleotide long non-coding RNA is filed under the name Apteryx owenii (little spotted kiwi). Its description in RNAcentral is "lncRNA (ENSAOWG00000001546.1)". Lineage: Eukaryota; Metazoa; Chordata; Aves; Apterygiformes; Apterygidae. The record is from RNAcentral.